RNAcentral lists this ribosomal RNA (457 nucleotides) under uncultured bacterium. RNAcentral describes it as "bacterial SSU rRNA". It matches the Rfam family "Bacterial small subunit ribosomal RNA", at positions 340 to 786 of the family's 1533-position model. The record is from RNAcentral.
UACGGAAGGCAGCAGUGGGGAAUAUUGCACAAUGGGCGAAAGCCUGAUGCAGCUAUGCCGCGUGUAUGAAGAAGGCCUUAGGGUUGUAAAGUACUUUCAUCGGGGAGGAAAAACAAAACUAAUAAUUUUAUUUCUUGACGUUACCCGAAAAAGAAGCACCGGCUAACUCCGUGCCAGCAGCCGCGGUAAUACGGAGGGUGCUAGCGUUAAUCAGAAUUACUGGGCGUAAAGAGCACGUAGGUGGUUUUUUUAAAGUCAGAUGUGAAAUCCCUGGGCUUAACCUAGGAACUGCAUUUUGAAACUGAAAUACUAGAGUAUCGUAGAGGGAGGUAGAAUUCUAGGUGUAGCGGUGAAAUGCGUAGAUAUCUGGAGGAAUACCUGUGGCGAAAGCGGCCUCCUAAACGAAUACUGACACUGAGGUGCGAAAGCGUGGGGAGCAAACCAGGGAUUAGAUACC